UACGAACGCUGGCGGCGUGCCUAAUACAUGCAAGACGAGCGGAUGGAAGGAAGCUUGCUUCCUAAAGUCAGCGGCGGACGGGUGAGUAACACGUGGGCAACCUGACCCUAAGAUCGGGAUACCUUCGGGAAACCGGAGACAAUAUCGGAUAUGAUUAUGACUCACAUGAGAUGUAAUGGAAAGACGGUUUAGGCUGUACAUUAGGGAUGGGACGGAGGCGCAUUAGCUAGUUGGUGAGGUAACGGCUCACCAAGGCGACGAUGCAUAGCCGACCUGAGAGUGUGAUCGGCCACACUGGGACUGAGACACGGCCCAGACUCCUACGGGAGGCAGCAGUAGGGAAUCUUCCGCAAUGGACGAAAGUCUGACGGAGCAACGCCGCGUGAGUGAAGAAGGUUUUCGGAUCGUAAAACUCUGUUGUUAGGGAAGAACAAGUACCAUAGUAACUGAUGGUACCUUGACGGUACCUAACCAGAAAGCCACGGCUAACUACGUGCCAGCCGCCGCCGUAA
RNAcentral lists this ribosomal RNA (512 nucleotides) under uncultured bacterium. RNAcentral describes it as "partial 16S ribosomal RNA". It matches the Rfam family "Bacterial small subunit ribosomal RNA", at positions 29 to 523 of the family's 1533-position model. The record is from RNAcentral.